Molecule: ribosomal RNA, 274 nt
Filed under: uncultured bacterium
Lineage: Bacteria
Description: partial 16S ribosomal RNA
Rfam family: Bacterial small subunit ribosomal RNA
Source: RNAcentral
AUACGGAGGGUGCGAGCGUUGUUCGGAAUUACUGGGCGUAAAGCGCGUGUAGGCGGCUGAUUAAGUCUGGUGUGAAAGCCCGGGGCUCACCCCCGGAAGUGCGCUGGAAACUGGUCAGCUAGAGUAUGGGAGAGGGAAGCGGAAUUCCUGGUGUAGCGGUGAAAUGCGUAGAUAUCAGGAGGAACACCGGCGGCGAAGGCGGCUUCCUGGACCAAUACUGACGCUGAGACGCGAAAGCGUGGGGAGCAAACAGGAUUAGAUACCCGGGUAGUCC